Molecule: ribosomal RNA, 823 nt
Filed under: uncultured eukaryote
Lineage: Eukaryota
Description: bacterial SSU rRNA
Rfam family: Eukaryotic small subunit ribosomal RNA
Source: RNAcentral
UCCGGAGAGGGAGCCUGAGAGACGGCUACCACAUCUAAGGAAGGCAGCAGGCGCGUAAAUUACCCAAUCCUGACACGGGGAGGUAGUGACAAUAAAUAACAAAGCGGGGCUUUUCAAGUCUUGCUAUUGGAAUGAGAGCAAUUUAAAUCCCUCAUCGAGGAUCAAUUGGAGGACAAGUCUGGUGCCAGCAGCCGCGGUAAUUCCAGCUCCAAUAGCGUAUAUUAAAGUUGUUGCAGUUAAAAAGCUCGUAGUCGGAUUUCUGGCUUGUGUCCCAGGUCGGCCCGAUAGGGUCUGUUACUAGGAGACGCUUGCCAUCCUGAGGAGUAGCGUGUGUGCUAUUAUUUAGUGUGCUCGUGAGUCCUCUCGUUUACUGUGAACAAAUUAGAGUGUUUAAAGCAGGCAAUUGCCUUGAAUACAUUAGCAUGGAAUAAUAAGAUAGGACUUCUGGUCUAUUUGUUGGUUCAGGCCUGAGGUAAUGAUUAAUAGGGAUAGUUGGGGGUAUUCAUAUUCAAUUGUCAGAGGUGAAAUUCUUGGAUUUAUGGAAGAUGAACAACUGCGAAAGCAUUUACCAAGGAUGUUUUCAUUAAUCAAGAACGAAAGUUAGGGGAUCGAAGAUGAUUAGAUACCAUCGUAGUCUUAACCAUAAACUAUGCCGACUAGGGAUUGGACGUUGUUAUUUUUGACACGUUCAGCACCUUAUGAGAAAUCAAAGUCUUUGGGUUCCGGGGGGAGUAUGGUCGCAAGGCUGAAACUUAAAGGAAUUGACGGAAGGGCACCACCAGGAGUGGAGCCUGCGGCUUAAUUUGACUCAACACGCAAAUCA